Molecule: microRNA, 21 nt
Filed under: Apis mellifera (honey bee)
Lineage: Eukaryota; Metazoa; Arthropoda; Insecta; Hymenoptera; Apidae
Description: ame-miR-3734-3p
Source: miRBase by way of RNAcentral
UUUCGCACGGGAGGACGUUAG